This is a long non-coding RNA of Dama dama (fallow deer), 748 nucleotides long. RefSeq lists it as uncharacterized. The transcript is spliced from 2 exons. The record is from RefSeq and is a predicted model, not a curated record. Lineage: Eukaryota; Metazoa; Chordata; Mammalia; Artiodactyla; Cervidae.
UGAGAUGUAAACGAUCUGGGAACUGUCAUUGUUGGAAGGUGUAAAGCUCAGGAUGAAGGAGACUGGGAGGAUUUCAAAGAGGAAAGUUUGAAUUUACAAAGUGGAAGCCCAAUGAUCAAGACUAGAGAAAGAUAUUGAGAAGUAAAUGCCACAGAAGACACUGCAAGAAAUUGACCAUGAACAAACAACAUGGAGGGCAUGUUUAUGGUGACUAUUCGUCCAGAGAUUUCCAAGCUUGAGCUACUUGCUCCUGGAAGGUGCCUGGGAUAACAGAGGAAUGGAAGAGGAAGUCCCGCCAUAGAGCACAUCUUCCUCCCCACCGGUACUAAUUCAUGGAACUACAUCACGUUGGUUUUAAAAAAUGGAAAUCUGAAUGCUUGGUGACAGAGCUUGCAGCAAGAGAAGAAGAAGAAAAAAACUGUUGCCUAUUCCUCCAAGUUACAGAAAAACUGGUACUAUUAUGCAUCAUAAAACUGGCAAUUAAAAUGUUAUUUCUAACAGAAAAUUCUGGAAAACACCCAGACUCUAAAAAAAUCUUACUGCUCAUCCCAGACCUUUGCUGAAAUGUAAGCUUCUCCUUGUAGCCUUUCUUGACCAGCUGAUUUAAAAAAUUUGCCUCCAUCAGACCCCUGAUUUCCUACUCUCUCUCCCUCCCUCCAAGUCUUCUCCAUGGCAAUCAUCACAAUCUAACACAUAUUUUACUUAUUUUGUAUUUAUUUUCACUAAAAUAAACUCCUGACCUUCUGUA